GAUGAACGCUAGCUACAGGCUUAACACAUGCAAGUCGAGGGGAAACGAUAUUGGAAGCUUGCUUCCGAUAGGCGUCGACCGGCGCACGGGUGAGUAACGCGUAUCCAACCUGCCCACCACUUGGGGAUAACCUUGCGAAAGUAAGACUAAUACCCAAUGAUAUCUCUAGAAGACAUCUGAAGGAGAUUAAAGAUUCAUCGGUGAUGGAUGGGGAUGCGUCUGAUUAGCUUGUUGGCGGGGUAACGGCCCACCAAGGCGACGAUCAGUAGGGGUUCUGAGAGGAAGGUCCCCCACAUUGGAACUGAGAAACGGUCCAAACUCCUACGGGAGGCAGCAGUGAGGAAUAUUGGUCAAUGGGCGAGAGCCUGAACCAGCCAAGUAGCGUGCAGGAUGACGGCCCUAUGGGUUGUAAACUGCUUUUAUAAGGGAAUAAAGUGAGUCUCGUGAGACUCUUUGCAUGUACCUUAUGAAUAAGGACCGGCUAAUUCCGUGCCAGCCGCCGCGGUAA
RNAcentral lists this ribosomal RNA (508 nucleotides) under uncultured bacterium. RNAcentral's name for it is "partial 16S ribosomal RNA". It matches the Rfam family "Bacterial small subunit ribosomal RNA", at positions 28 to 523 of the family's 1533-position model. The record is from RNAcentral.